AGUGAACGCUGGCGGUAGGCCUAACACAUGCAAGUCGAACGGCAGCACAGUAAGAGCUUGCUCUUACGGGUGGCGAGUGGCGGACGGGUGAGGAAUACAUCGGAAUCUACUUUUUCGUGGGGGAAACGUAGGGAAACUUACGCUAAUACCGCAUACGACCUACGGGUGAAAGCAGGGGAUCUUCGGACCUUGCGCGAUUGAAUGAGCCGAUGUCGGAUUAGCUAGUUGGCGGGGUAAAGGCCCACCAAGGCGACGAUCCGUAGCUGGGCUGAGAGGAUGAUCAGCCACAUUGGAACUGAGACACGGUCCAGACUCCUACGGGAGGCAGCAGUGGGGAAUAUUGGACAAUGGGCGCAAGCCUGAUCCAGCCAUACCGCGUGGGUGAAGAAGGCCUUCGGGUUGUAAAGCCCUUUUGUUGGGAAAGAAAAGCAGCAGGUUAAUACCCCGCUGUUCUGACGGUACCCAAAGAAUAAGCACCGGCUAACUUCGUG
RNAcentral lists this ribosomal RNA (491 nucleotides) under uncultured bacterium. RNAcentral describes it as "partial 16S ribosomal RNA". It matches the Rfam family "Bacterial small subunit ribosomal RNA", at positions 29 to 507 of the family's 1533-position model. The record is from RNAcentral.